GACAAUGCACAAUUCGCUAAAUCCCUUAUCUCUCUCGCUCUAACACUCUGUCCGAUCGCGUCGAUUCCAUCCGUUGUUGGUGAUGGCCAUCGAUUCUUUAGGUUUCAAACUCAAUCUCUUGCCCAAUCUCAUUCUGACCGAGCUAUCCAUCCGUUCUUGUUCGUCUAUACACACCGCUCAACAUACAAUCUUUCCUUUUUCUAACCCAAUUUGAAAAUCUGAGCUCGGUUUAGGGAAUUCGUUCCGAUCUACUGUUACGCUUACAUUUGCUCUUUUUUUGAGUUAUAUAAACAUAGAUGAGUGUUUUUCACAUAUGUGGAUUCAACCUUGUGAUCCGAAACCUAAUAUGAAGGUAAAUUUUCGAGUUACCAACUAAGGUAAAAGGCUAUCAAUGGCGUAAAGAGGUAAAACUUGUAGAAACAGUGUACAUACAACAACAUUUUGCUAAGGGAUAUUGAAUGUGGGGGACUGCUACUGAAGAGAUGUAACUGAAGAGAUGGAGAAAUGGUGGGUAAAAGAAGAUUGACACAUGUUUAUAUAGGCUGAAGAAGUGAAAUUCAAAAUUUGAAGAGACUUGCAGCCGGAAGAGUGAUGGAAACCUUUGAGUUUCCAAGAAAGAAUUCCGAAUCAUCAGGGUUAUUUUUUGUUAGAAAUUUUUAUUAAUAAUUGUUCAAUAUGUAUGUGUAUAUCGGAAUGUCUUUAGGUGUAUAUAAAUAAAUAGAUA
Molecule: long non-coding RNA, 724 nt
Organism: Ipomoea nil (Japanese morning glory)
Lineage: Eukaryota; Viridiplantae; Streptophyta; Magnoliopsida; Solanales; Convolvulaceae
Exons: 3
Source: RefSeq, a predicted model, not a curated record